GGAGAGGUAACUCAGUGGUUGGGUUCAUGUUUUGCAUACAUGAGGCCCUGGGUUCAAUUCCCAGCAUUACAA
This 72-nucleotide transfer RNA is filed under the name Heterocephalus glaber (naked mole-rat). It matches the Rfam family "tRNA". Rfam says of the family: Transfer RNA (tRNA) molecules are approximately 80 nucleotides in length. Their secondary structure includes four short double-helical elements and three loops (D, anti-codon, and T loops). Lineage: Eukaryota; Metazoa; Chordata; Mammalia; Rodentia; Bathyergidae. The record is from Rfam by way of RNAcentral.